RNAcentral lists this long non-coding RNA (249 nucleotides) under Elaeis guineensis (African oil palm). Its description in RNAcentral is "long non-coding RNA (EGUI_LNC008837)". The record is from RNAcentral. Lineage: Eukaryota; Viridiplantae; Streptophyta; Magnoliopsida; Arecales; Arecaceae.
AUGUAUAUAGUGUGCGCUACUUGAGAUGGUCUUACUUUGGUUUUUUGCUUCCAGUCUAGAUGCAUGUUAUGCUUUAACCGGUCAUUGGUUUAUUAGAAUUUUGUAUUAUACUUAAAAAAUAAAAACUUCAUAGUUUUAUUUUUUUGGUAGAAUUUUUUUUGUUUUGGACCCAUUUGGUUCACGGGAAGUGAGGGAAGAGGAAGAACUUCUAAAAAAAAUGAAGAGGAAGUUUUUUGUUUGAUUGAAAUU